RNAcentral lists this ribosomal RNA (421 nucleotides) under uncultured bacterium. RNAcentral describes it as "bacterial SSU rRNA". It matches the Rfam family "Bacterial small subunit ribosomal RNA", at positions 355 to 787 of the family's 1533-position model. The record is from RNAcentral.
UGGGGAAUAUUGCACAAUGGGGGGAAACCCUGAUGCAGCGACGCCGCGUGAGCGAUGAAGUAUUUCGGUAUGUAAAGCUCUAUCAGCAGGGAAGAAAAUGACGGUACCUGACUAAGAAGCCCCGGCUAACUACGUGCCAGCAGCCGCGGUAAUACGUAGGGGGCAAGCGUUAUCCGGAUUUACUGGGUGUAAAGGGAGCGUAGACGGCGUACAAGCCAGAUGUGAAAGCUCGGGGCUCAACCCCGGGACUGCAUUUGGAACUGUAGUGCUGGAGUGUCGGAGAGGCAGGCGGAAUUCCUAGUGUAGCGGUGAAAUGCGUAGAUAUUAGGAGGAACACCAGUAAAAAAGGCGAAGGCGGCCUGCUGGACGAUGACUGACGUUGAGGCUCGAAAGCGUGGGGAGCAAACAGGAUUAGAUACCC